AGCAUUUGGACAUCUGCCACCCGGAGGGCACUGCUCCCUCUUUUUCUUCAUCUCACCAUCCUGCCCGGCCUGGCAGCAGCCGUGGGCAGCCUCCCAUGACGCAAGCGGGUGACCGAGCUUACUCUGAGAGGCGCUGCGGCCAGGAUUGGAAGGAGGAGGGAGGCACACACUUUGAAUUUGUGAGAAAUUUAGACUGGUUUUGAUUAGAUGAGAGUUUUUAAUACCAGAAAAGGAGACCCAUCUAAUGGGUGAUGGGAGCGCUAUUGGAUCCCCGCAGGAUGUGAUCCAGGGGCGGUGGGGGGCCAUACAGCCAGCUGAAGGGAGUGGUUGGGGAAAAGAAAUUAAAGUUGUUCUCUCUCUGAACCCCACAGAGCCCAAGCAGAUCAAGCAGGUUAUAUUUGGAAACCAGGCCAGUGGAGUUGGCCGAGUGCGCAGCAUCAGGCAGCACAAGGUGAACAAGAAUCCAAACCAGACCAUCGCGGAGUCUGCUCCCGGCCGCCCUGGGUUAGAGUCCAGGUUCUGGAGCCCCCCUGAGAGAACCAAAGCAUCACCCAGAGGCACCACCUCGUGGCGAAGCAUCGGCUCAAAGGACCCUUCGCAUGAGACCCUUGACAAUGGCUCCUCUGGCCUAAAACGGGAUCUGGACUCACAACCGUGGUGCUCAAGCUCCUGUCUCGCCUGCAAAAGGCCAGUAUCAACCAUCUAACCAUCCCAUCCGGGCCUCGUUUUCUGGGCGUUCCCACACGGGCGCUGGACGUGACCGUCUCCCGCGCUCGGCCUGCCGGGGGCUCUGAGAAGUCAGUGCGGCCAGCCCGGUUCUAUAGGCGUGGACCUGAGGUUUGGAAAGAUGAGGGCACUCUUCUGGGACCUCACAGCUGGGAAGUGGC
This 887-nucleotide long non-coding RNA is filed under the name Vulpes vulpes (red fox). RNAcentral's name for it is "lncRNA (ENSVVUG00000006383.1)". The record is from RNAcentral. Lineage: Eukaryota; Metazoa; Chordata; Mammalia; Carnivora; Canidae.